GUCCUUACAAGAGCCUUUUCUAAAUGUAAACAGUUUAGUAGUAGAAGACUUUGGACUCUGCUUUCUCUAAAUUGUUUUAGUGACAAGUGACGUUGUGUUUACAUCUCUACCUCAUGAAUUUAUCGUUGCUUUUUAUUCCCUGUUGACUUUCUUAUUCCUCUAAACUGCCGUCUGUAAACCAAAUUGUCCCUUGAAGCUCUAUGAGGGCAAACCAAAGUGUUAAACAGACCUACCUUUG
Molecule: long non-coding RNA, 238 nt
Organism: Etheostoma spectabile (orangethroat darter)
Lineage: Eukaryota; Metazoa; Chordata; Actinopteri; Perciformes; Percidae
Exons: 3
Source: RefSeq, a predicted model, not a curated record